RNAcentral lists this long non-coding RNA (547 nucleotides) under Fukomys damarensis (Damara mole-rat). Its description in RNAcentral is "lncRNA (ENSFDAG00000024175.1)". Lineage: Eukaryota; Metazoa; Chordata; Mammalia; Rodentia; Bathyergidae. The record is from RNAcentral.
GUCCCUCUGGCUCUGAGAACUUGACUUUGUAGUGAGCUCACGCAUGUCACUCUGUCACCUAGGGAAAGUGUGGAGAGUUUGAUCCAGAAGCAUUCUUAUGCCCGCUCGCCCAUCCGUACCUAUGGAGGAGAAGAGGACGUGCUGGGGGAAGAGAGCCAGACAACCUCAAAUCGAGGGUCAGCCUUUACCACAUCUGACAACUUGUCGCUCAGCUCCUGGGUAUCAUCUUCUUCCAGUUUUCCUGGAUUUCAGCACCCACAAUCCCUCACCGCUCUUGGCACCAGCACAGCAUCCAUAGCGACACCCAUUCCACACCCCAUACAGGGUUCUCUGCCACCCUACAGCCGCCUGGGAAUGCCACUGACCCCAUCCGCCAUUGCCACCUCCAUGCAGGGGAGUGGCCCUACCUUCCCUUCCUUCCACAUGCCGAGGUACCAUCACUAUUUCCAGCAAGGGCCCUAUGCUGCCAUCCAAGGACUGCGCCAUUCCUCCGCCGUGAUGACACCGUUUGUAUGACUCUUUCAGAGGUGGAGCAUUUGGAUCCAGA